AACGAUGAAGCCCUUCGGGGUGGAUUAGUGGCGAACGGGUGAGUAACACGUGGGCAAUCUGCCCUUCACUCUGGGACAAGCCCUGGAAACGGGGUCUAAUACCGGAUAACACCGGCUUCCGCAUGGAAGCUGGUUAAAAGCUCCGGCGGUGAAGGAUGAGCCCGCGGCCUAUCAGCUUGUUGGUGGGGUAAUGGCCUACCAAGGCGACGACGGGUAGCCGGCCUGAGAGGGCGACCGGCCACACUGGGACUGAGACACGGCCCAGACUCCUACGGGAGGCAGCAGUGGGGAAUAUUGCACAAUGGGCGAAAGCCUGAUGCAGCGACGCCGCGUGAGGGAUGACGGCCUUCGGGUUGUAAACCUCUUUCAGCAGGGAAGAAGCGAAAGUGACGGUACCUGCAGAAGAAGCGCCGGCUAACUACGUGCCAGCAGCCGCGGUAAUACGUAGGGCGCAAGCGUUGUCCGGAAUUAUUGGGCGUAAAGAGCUCGUAGGCGGCUUGUCACGUCGGGUGUGAAAGCCCGGGGCUUAACCCCGGGUCUGCAUCCGAUACGGGCAGGCUAGAGUGUGGUAGGGGGAGAUCGGAAUUCCUGGUGUAGCGGUGAAAUGCGCAGAUAUCAGGAGGAACACCGGUGGCGAAGGCGGAUCUCUGGGCCAUUACUGACGCUGAGGAGCGAAAGCGUGGGGAGCGAACAGGAUUAGAUACCCUGGUAGUCCACGCCGUAAACGUUGGGAACUAGGUGUUGGCGACAUUCCACGUCGUCGGUGCCGCAGCUAACGCAUUAAGUUCCCCGCCUGGGGAGUACGGCCGCAAGGCUAAAACUCAAAGGAAUUGA
Molecule: ribosomal RNA, 834 nt
Filed under: Streptomyces sp. 3WH3_04
Lineage: Bacteria; Bacillati; Actinomycetota; Actinomycetes; Kitasatosporales; Streptomycetaceae
Description: bacterial SSU rRNA
Rfam family: Bacterial small subunit ribosomal RNA
Source: RNAcentral